RNAcentral lists this ribosomal RNA (441 nucleotides) under uncultured bacterium. RNAcentral's name for it is "partial 16S ribosomal RNA". It matches the Rfam family "Bacterial small subunit ribosomal RNA", at positions 338 to 795 of the family's 1533-position model. The record is from RNAcentral.
CCUACGGGGAGCAGCAGUGGGGGAUAUUGCACAAUGGGGGAAACCCUGAUGCAGCGACGCCGCGUGGGUGAAGAAGUAUUUCGGUAUGUAAAGCCCUAUCAGCAGGGAAGAAAGAAGACGGUACCUGACUAAGAAGCCCCGGCUAACUACGUGCCAGCAGCCGCGGUAAUACGUAGGGGGCGAGCGUUAUCCGGAUUCACUGGGUGUAAAGGGAGCGUAGACGGCCGUGCAAGCCAGGAGUGAAAGCCCGGGGCCCAACCCCGGGACUGCUCUUGGAACUGUGCGGCUGGAGUGCGGGAGGGGCAGGCGGAAUUCCUGGUGUAGCGGUGAAAUGCGUAGAUAUCAGGAGGAACACCGGCGGCGAAGGCGGCCUGCUGGACCGCGACUGACGUUGAGGCUCGAAAGCGUGGGGAGCGAACAGGAUUAGAUACCCCAGUAGUC